AACUGUAGAGGGCUGGGUCGGCCUCGUACAGUUCAAGAAUUAGUUUGCAUCAAUAAGUCUUACCGACCCAACAUCAUUUUCCUUUCAGAAACUAGAAAGAAUAAAGAUUAUGUUGAGAGCUUGCGGUAUCGUUUGGGUAUGAAAAAUGUAUUUACUGUUUUGGGUAAAGGCAAAGGUGGUGGUUUAGCGAUAUUAUGGGAUGAGUGUUUCUCUGUGGAAUUAAAUAAAUUCGGUGACCAUUUUAUUGAUCUGUACAUAUGUAAGAGUGAUGGAUCAAGAUGGAGAUGCACAUGUGUGUAUGGGGAACCAAAGGCGAGCCAAAGGUACGUCACGUGGGAGCUUUUGAGAAGAGUUAAAUGUCUUGGUUCUGGCCCCUGGUUCAUGGUCGAUGACUUUAAUGAAGCUGUGUGGCAAUAUGAACAUUUUUCUCGUAAUAAAAGAUCGCCUAAACUCAUGGAAAAAUUUCGGGAGGUUCUCUCUGAUUGCAAUUUAUUUGAUCUGGGUUUUCAUGAAGUACCUUGGAUGUAUGAUAAUUUUGGGGAACGUAGUAUUUCAAAAAAAUUCCUAUGA
RNAcentral lists this ribosomal RNA (570 nucleotides) under Triticum aestivum (bread wheat). RNAcentral describes it as "partial small subunit ribosomal RNA". The record is from RNAcentral. Lineage: Eukaryota; Viridiplantae; Streptophyta; Magnoliopsida; Poales; Poaceae.